Molecule: ribosomal RNA, 460 nt
Filed under: uncultured bacterium
Lineage: Bacteria
Description: partial 16S ribosomal RNA
Rfam family: Bacterial small subunit ribosomal RNA
Source: RNAcentral
CCUACGGGAGGCAGCAGUGAGGAAUAUUGGUCAAUGGGCGCGAGCCUGAACCAGCCAAGUAGCGUGAAGGAUGACUGCCCUACGGGUUGUAAACUUCUUUUAUAAAGGAAUAAAGUGAGGCACGUGUGCCUGUUUGUAUGUUAUUUAUGAAUAAGGAUCGGCUAACUCCGUGCCAGCAGCCGCGGUAAUACGGAGGAUCCGAGCGUUAUCCGGAUUUUUUGGGUUUAAAGGGAGCGUAGAUGGGUUGUUAAGUCAGUUGUGAAAGUUUGCGGCUCAACCGUAAAAUUGCCAUUGAUACUGGCAGUCUUGAGUAAAGUUGAGGUAGGCGGAAUUCGUGGUGUAGCGGUGAAAUGCUUAGAUAUCACGCAGAACCCCGAUUGCGAAGGCAGCUUACUAAACUGUGACUGACAUUGAUGCUCGAAAGUGUGGGUAUCAAACAGGAUUAGAUACCCGGGUAGUC